RNAcentral lists this ribosomal RNA (529 nucleotides) under Penicillium expansum. Its description in RNAcentral is "eukaryotic LSU rRNA". The stretch from base 189 to 341 matches the Rfam family "5.8S ribosomal RNA". The record is from RNAcentral. Lineage: Eukaryota; Fungi; Ascomycota; Eurotiomycetes; Eurotiales; Aspergillaceae.
GGAAGGAUCAUUACCGAGUGAGGGCCCUUUGGGUCCAACCUCCCACCCGUGUUUAUUUACCUCGUUGCUUCGGCGGGCCCGCCUUAACUGGCCGCCGGGGGGCUCACGCCCCCGGGCCCGCGCCCGCCGAAGACACCCCCGAACUCUGCCUGAAGAUUGUCGUCUGAGUGAAAAUAUAAAUUAUUUAAAACUUUCAACAACGGAUCUCUUGGUUCCGGCAUCGAUGAAGAACGCAGCGAAAUGCGAUACGUAAUGUGAAUUGCAAAUUCAGUGAAUCAUCGAGUCUUUGAACGCACAUUGCGCCCCCUGGUAUUCCGGGGGGCAUGCCUGUCCGAGCGUCAUUGCUGCCCUCAAGCCCGGCUUGUGUGUUGGGCCCCGUCCUCCGAUUCCGGGGGACGGGCCCGAAAGGCAGCGGCGGCACCGCGUCCGGUCCUCGAGCGUAUGGGGCUUUGUCACCCGCUCUGUAGGCCCGGCCGGCGCUUGCCGAUCAACCCAAAUUUUUAUCCAGUUGGUUGACCUCGGAUCAGGU